RNAcentral lists this transfer RNA (89 nucleotides) under Terriglobia bacterium. Its description in RNAcentral is "tRNA-Leu". It matches the Rfam family "tRNA". From Rfam's summary of the family: Transfer RNA (tRNA) molecules are approximately 80 nucleotides in length. Their secondary structure includes four short double-helical elements and three loops (D, anti-codon, and T loops). Lineage: Bacteria; Pseudomonadati; Acidobacteriota; Terriglobia. The record is from RNAcentral. RNAcentral also lists the same sequence under 1 other name.
GCCCGGGUGGCGAAACUGGCAGACGCACGGGACUUAAAAUCCCGAGUUCCGAAAGGAACGUAUCGGUUCGAUUCCGAUCCCGGGCACCA